GCCGGAAUAGCUCAGUCGGUAGAGCAGAGGACUGAAAAUC
Molecule: transfer RNA, 40 nt
Filed under: Dolichomitriopsis diversiformis
Lineage: Eukaryota; Viridiplantae; Streptophyta; Bryopsida; Hypnales; Lembophyllaceae
Also listed under: 21 other names
Description: partial tRNA-Phe
Rfam family: tRNA
About the family: Transfer RNA (tRNA) molecules are approximately 80 nucleotides in length.
Source: RNAcentral